GUUGUAGCUCAGUGGAAGAGCACUUGUGUCACACAUAUGAGGUCCUGGGUUCGAUCCUCAUAAAAUAAUA
Molecule: transfer RNA, 70 nt
Filed under: Marmota monax (woodchuck)
Lineage: Eukaryota; Metazoa; Chordata; Mammalia; Rodentia; Sciuridae
Description: tRNA.Val
Source: RNAcentral